CAGUAGCCGCGGUAAUACGAAGGGUGCAAGCGUUAAUCGGAAUUACUGGGCGUAAAGCGUGCGUAGGCGGUUUGUUAAGUCUGUUGUGAAAUCCCCGGGCUCAACCUGGGAAUGGCAGUGGAUACUGGCUCGCUAGAGUGUGUCAGAGGAUGGUGGAAUUCCCGGUGUAGCGGUGAAAUGCGUAGAGAUCGGAAGGAACAUCUGUGGCGAAGGCGACUAUCUGGGCCAACACUGACACUGAGGCACGAAAGCGUGGGGAGCAAACAGGAUUAGAUACCCGUGUAGUCCCUGUCUCUUAUAA
This 301-nucleotide ribosomal RNA is filed under the name uncultured bacterium. RNAcentral describes it as "partial 16S ribosomal RNA". It matches the Rfam family "Bacterial small subunit ribosomal RNA", at positions 509 to 809 of the family's 1533-position model. The record is from RNAcentral.